Molecule: ribosomal RNA, 305 nt
Filed under: uncultured bacterium
Lineage: Bacteria
Description: bacterial SSU rRNA
Rfam family: Bacterial small subunit ribosomal RNA
Source: RNAcentral
UUUCCUACGGGGGGCAGCAGUAGGGAAUUUUCGUCAAUGGGCGCAAGCCUGAACGAGCAAUGCCGCGUGAACGAGGAAGGUCUUCGGAUCGUAAAGUUCUGUUGAAGGGGAAAAAGAGCGGAGAGAGGAAAUGAACUCCGAUUGAUAUUACCCUUCGAGGAAGUCACGGCUAACUACGUGCCAGCAGCCGCGGUAAUACGUAGGUGGCGAGCGUUAUCCGGAUUUAUUGGGUUUAAAGGGUGCGCAGGCGGCGAGUUAAGUCAGCGGUAAAAUUUCGGGGCUCAACCCCGACGAGCCGUUGCAAC